This 468-nucleotide ribosomal RNA is filed under the name uncultured bacterium. RNAcentral describes it as "partial 16S ribosomal RNA". It matches the Rfam family "Bacterial small subunit ribosomal RNA", at positions 28 to 507 of the family's 1533-position model. The record is from RNAcentral.
GACGAACGCUGGCGGCGUGCUUAACACAUGCAAGUCGAACGGAAAGGCCCUGCUUUUGUGGGGUGCUCGAGUGGCGAACGGGUGAGUAACACGUGAGUAACCUGCCCUUGACUUUGGGAUAACUUCAGGAAACUGGGGCUAAUACCGGAUAGGAGCUCCUGCUGCAUGGUGGGGGUUGGAAAGUUUCGGCGGUUGGGGAUGGACUCGCGGCUUAUCAGCUUGUUGGUGGGGUAGUGGCUUACCAAGGCUUUGACGGGUAGCCGGCCUGAGAGGGUGACCGGCCACAUUGGGACUGAGAUAGGGCCCAGACUCCUACGGGAGGCAGCAGGGGGGAAUUUUGCACAAGGGGGGGAGGCCUGAGGCAGCAACCCCGGGUGCGGGAUGCCGGCCUUCGGUUUGAAACCCGCUUUCGCCUGUGACGAAGGGUGCGUGAGGGUAAGGGGAAAAGAAGACCCGGCAAACUCCGUC